GUACUGUGCGAACGUUAUUCGGAAUCACUGGGCUUAAAGGGUGCGUAGGCGGCGAUUCAAGUCAGGUGUGAAAUGCCUGAGCUCAACUGAGGCAUUGCGCUUGAAACUGAAUUGCUAGAGUAUCCUAGGGGUGUGCGGAGCUGCCAGUGGAACGGUGAAAUGUGUUGAUAUUGGCAGGAACACCGGAGGCGAAGGCGGCACACUGGGGGAUAACUGACGCUGAGGCACGAAAGCCAAGGGAGCGAACGGGAUUAGAUACCCCGGUAGUCUUGGCUGUAAACGAUGAGCACUGGGCGGGAGGGGGUUUCCCUUUUCUGCCGUAGCGAAAGCGUUAAGUGCUCCGCCUGGGGAGUAUGGUCGCAAGGCUG
RNAcentral lists this ribosomal RNA (368 nucleotides) under uncultured bacterium. RNAcentral describes it as "bacterial SSU rRNA". It matches the Rfam family "Bacterial small subunit ribosomal RNA", at positions 527 to 896 of the family's 1533-position model. The record is from RNAcentral.